Molecule: ribosomal RNA, 404 nt
Filed under: uncultured eukaryote
Lineage: Eukaryota
Description: SSU rRNA
Rfam family: Eukaryotic small subunit ribosomal RNA
Source: RNAcentral
CCAGCAGCCGCGGUAAUUCCAGCUCCAAUAGCGUAUAUUAAAGUUGUUGCGGUUAAAAAGCUCGUAGUUGGAGUUCUGUUGCGGAAAACUGGUCCGUCUAUCGGGCGGUAUUUAGAUUUUGCGUUUCAUCUUCUUGAAAAGCUUUGCUGUGCUUGAUUGCAUGGCGUGGGAAUCAGGACAUUUACUUUGAGGAAUUUAGAGUGUUUCAAGCAGGUUUGUGCUGAAAUAGCCUAGCAUGGAAUAAUAACAUGGGGUCUUGGUCUUGUUUGUUGGUUUCUAGGUUGAGGAAAAAAUCAAGAGGGAUAGCUGGGGGCAUUUGUACUUAACUGUAAGAGGUGAAAUUCUUGGAUUUGUUACAGACAAACUACCGCGAAAGCAUUUGUCAUGUGAUAAAGAACGAAAGU